UGCAGAGAAAUUCAAAUGUCUAAAUGAGGC
Molecule: non-coding RNA, 30 nt
Filed under: Rattus norvegicus (Norway rat)
Lineage: Eukaryota; Metazoa; Chordata; Mammalia; Rodentia; Muridae
Source: RNAcentral